This 525-nucleotide ribosomal RNA is filed under the name Paenarthrobacter nitroguajacolicus. RNAcentral's name for it is "bacterial SSU rRNA". It matches the Rfam family "Bacterial small subunit ribosomal RNA", at positions 55 to 596 of the family's 1533-position model. The record is from RNAcentral. Lineage: Bacteria; Bacillati; Actinomycetota; Actinomycetes; Micrococcales; Micrococcaceae.
AUGCAGUCGACGAUGAUCCCAGCUUGCUGGGGGAUUAGUGGCGAACGGGUGAGUAACACGUGAGUAACCUGCCCUUGACUCUGGGAUAAGCCUGGGAAACUGGGUCUAAUACCGGAUACGACCAUCUGGCGCAUGUCAUGGUGGUGGAAAGCUUUUGUGGUUUUGGAUGGACUCGCGGCCUAUCAGCUUGUUGGUGGGGUAAUGGCCUACCAAGGCGACGACGGGUAGCCGGCCUGAGAGGGUGACCGGCCACACUGGGACUGAGACACGGCCCAGACUCCUACGGGAGGCAGCAGUGGGGAAUAUUGCACAAUGGGCGAAAGCCUGAUGCAGCGACGCCGCGUGAGGGAUGACGGCCUUCGGGUUGUAAACCUCUUUCAGUAGGGAAGAAGCGAAAGUGACGGUACCUGCAGAAGAAGCGCCGGCUAACUACGUGCCAGCAGCCGCGGUAAUACGUAGGGCGCAAGCGUUAUCCGGAAUUAUUGGGCGUAAAGAGCUCGUAGGCGGUUUGUCGCGUCUGCUGUG